Molecule: ribosomal RNA, 900 nt
Filed under: Pectobacterium carotovorum subsp. carotovorum
Lineage: Bacteria; Pseudomonadati; Pseudomonadota; Gammaproteobacteria; Enterobacterales; Pectobacteriaceae
Description: bacterial SSU rRNA
Rfam family: Bacterial small subunit ribosomal RNA
Source: RNAcentral
CGGAAUGACUGGGCGUAAAGCGCACGCAGGCGGUUUGUUAAGUCAGAUGUGAAAUCCCCGAGCUUAACUUGGGAACUGCAUUUGAAACUGGCAAGCUAGAGUCUUGUAGAGGGGGGUAGAAUUCCAGGUGUAGCGGUGAAAUGCGUAGAGAUCUGGAGGAAUACCGGUGGCGAAGGCGGCCCCCUGGACAAAGACUGACGCUCAGGUGCGAAAGCGUGGGGAGCAAAACAGGAUUAGAUACCCUGGUAGUCCACGCUGUAAACGAUGUCGAUUUGGAGGUUGUGCCCUUGAGGCGUGGCUUCCGGAGCUAACGCGUUAAAUCGACCGCCUGGGGAGUACGGCCGCAAGGUUAAAACUCAAAUGAAUUGACGGGGGCCCGCACAAGCGGUGGAGCAUGUGGUUUAAUUCGAUGCAACGCGAAGAACCUUACCUACUCUUGACAUCCACAGAAUUCGGUAGAGAUACCUUAGUGCCUUCGGGAACUGUGAGACAGGUGCUGCAUGGCUGUCGUCAGCUCGUGUUGUGAAAUGUUGGGUUAAGUCCCGCAACGAGCGCAACCCUUAUCCUUUGUUGCCAGCGGUUCGGCCGGGAACUCAAAGGAGACUGCCAGUGAUAAACUGGAGGAAGGUGGGGAUGACGUCAAGUCAUCAUGGCCCUUACGAGUAGGGCUACACACGUGCUACAAUGGCGUAUACAAAGAGAAGCGACCUCGCGAGAGCAAGCGGACCUCAUAAAGUACGUCGUAGUCCGGAUUGGAGUCUGCAACUCGACUCCAUGAAGUCGGAAUCGCUAGUAAUCGUAGAUCAGAAUGCUACGGUGAAUACGUUCCCGGGCCUUGUACACACCGCCCGUCACACCAUGGGAGUGGGUUGCAAAAGAAGUAGGUAGCUUAACCUCGGG